GAUGAAGAACGUAGCGAAAUGCGAUACUUGGUGUGAAUUGCAGAAUCCCGUGAACCAUCGAGUCUUUGAACGCAAGUUGCGCCCGAAGCCAUUAGGCCGAGGGCACGCCUGCCUGGGCUUCACACGUCGUUGCCCCCCCAUCUACUCCUUCGGGAUUGCGGGGGGCGGAUGAUGGCCUCCCGUGCGCCUCGUCGCGCGGUUGGCAUAAAUGCCAAGUCCUCGGCGACGCACGCCACGACAAUCGGUGGUUGCGAAACCUCGGUUGCCCGUCGUGUGCGGUCGUCGCGCAUCGAGGGCUCGAAAAAAUUGCCGGGCUCCGGCUCGGCUUUCAACGCGACCCCAGGUCAGGCGGGGUUACCCGCUGAAUUUAAGCAUAUCAAUAAGCGGAGGA
Molecule: unclassified non-coding RNA, 391 nt
Filed under: soil metagenome
Description: partial contains 5.8S ribosomal RNA, internal transcribed spacer 2, and large subunit ribosomal RNA
Rfam family: 5.8S ribosomal RNA (bases 1-122)
Source: RNAcentral